UGGGAGGCGGUCUAAAGCCUUUGAAAUCGGAAAAGACGGAGCAAGCGGUUGGAGGAAUCUGAUGCAGCUCAGGCGGCCGGCGGGAAGAUGGCGUUUGCCAUCCAGAUGGUGUUACCCUCCUAUGGGGGACCCUAGAGGGUGUCGCAUAACGGAGAAAUCUCACUACACUGCGGGCCCUUAGAGAAGAAACUGAAAAUGCAUGCGCAGCAAUCUCAAUGACCAAGGUUACCCAAGCAGCAGAUCGCUGUACUAAUAAAUGUCUUGGAAGCUUGAUGGCCUCCACUUUGAGCACCUCUUGUAAUUCUAGAGGCCAAAAGUAACUUGUAGUAAUCUCAUGAUGGCUUAAUAAAUUCAGUAUUAAAAUAUU
Heterocephalus glaber (naked mole-rat) is the source of this 367-nucleotide long non-coding RNA. RefSeq lists it as uncharacterized. NCBI's taxonomy places the organism in Eukaryota, Metazoa, Chordata, Mammalia, Rodentia, Bathyergidae. The record is from RefSeq and is a predicted model, not a curated record.